Molecule: ribosomal RNA, 1353 nt
Filed under: uncultured bacterium
Lineage: Bacteria
Description: partial 16S ribosomal RNA
Rfam family: Bacterial small subunit ribosomal RNA
Source: RNAcentral
GGAUGAACGCUAGCGGCAGGCUUAACACAUGCUAGUCGAGGGGCAGCGGGGAGGAAGCUUGCUUUCUCCGCCGGCGACCGGCGCACGGGUGAGUAACACGUAUGCAACCUGCCCCUGUCAGGGGGACAACCCGCCGAAAGGCGGGCUAAACCCGCGUACAUGCCACCGGGGCAUCCCGGAGGCAGGAAAGGCUUCGGCCGGACAGGGAUGGGCAUGCGGCGCAUUAGGCAGUAGGCGGGGUAACGGCCCACCUAACCGACGAUGCGUAGGGGUUCUGAGAGGAAGGUCCCCCACACUGGUACUGAGACACGGACCAGACUCCUACGGGAGGCAGCAGUGAGGAAUAUUGGUCAAUGGUCGGGAGACUGAACCAGCCAAGCCGCGUGAGGGAGGAAGGUACAGAGUAUCGUAAACCUCUUUUGUCAGGGAACAAAGGCGGGGACGUGUCCCCGGAUGAGUGUACCUGAAGAAAAAGCAUCGGCUAACUCCGUGCCAGCAGCCGCGGUAAUACGGAGGAUGCGAGCGUUAUCCGGAUUUAUUGGGUUUAAAGGGUGCGCAGGCGGUCUGUUAAGUCAGCGGUCAAAGCCCGGGGCUCAACCCCGGCCCGCCGUUGAAACUGGCAGUCUCGAGUUGGAGAGAAGUAUGCGGAAUGCGCGGUGUAGCGGUGAAAUGCAUAGAUAUCGCGCAGAACUCCGAUUGCGAAGGCAGCAUGCCGGCUCCACACUGACGCUGAGGCACGAAAGCGUGGGUAUCGAACAGGAUUAGAUACCCUGGUAGUCCACGCAGUAAACGAUGAAUGCUGGCUGUCCGGGGGGAUUGACCCCUGGGUGGCGAAGCGAAAGCGAUAAGCAUUCCACCUGGGGAGUACGCCGGCAACGGUGAAACUCAAAGGAAUUGACGGGGGCCCGCACAAGCGGAGGAACAUGUGGUUUAAUUCGAUGAUACGCGAGGAACCUUACCCGGGCUCAAACGGGGAGUGACUCAGGCAGAGACGCCUGUUUCCCACGGGACACUCCCCGAGGUGCUGCAUGGUUGUCGUCAGCUCGUGCCGUGAGGUGUCGGCUUAAGUGCCAUAACGAGCGCAACCCCCGCGUGCAGUUGCUAACAGAUAACGCUGAGGACUCUGCACGGACUGCCGGCGCAAGCCGCGAGGAAGGCGGGGAUGACGUCAAAUCAGCACGGCCCUUACGUCCGGGGCGACACACGUGUUACAAUGGGUGGUACAGCGGGAAGCCAGGCGGCGACGCCGAGCGGAACCCGAAAUCCACUCUCAGUUCGGAUCGGAGUCUGCAACCCGACUCCGUGAAGCUGGAUUCGCUAGUAAUCGCGCAUCAGCCAUGGCGCGGUGAAUAC